GACGAACGCUGGCGGUGUGCUUAACACAUGCAAGUCGAACGGUAAGGCCCUUUCGGGGGUACACGAGUGGCGAACGGGUGAGUAACACGUGAGUAACCUGCCCUCAUCUCUGGGAUAACAGUCGGAAACGGUUGCUAAUACUGGAUAUGAGCUUGCAAGGCAUCUUGUGGGUUGGAAAGAUUUUUUUUGGUUGGGGAUGGACUCGCGGCCUAUCAGCUUGUUGGUGAGGUAGUGGCUCACCAAGGCUUCGACGGAUAGCCGGCCUGAGAGGGCGACCGGCCACAUUGGGACUGAGAUACGGCCCAAACUCCUACGGGAGGCAGCAGUGGGGAAUAUUGCACAAUGGACGGAAGUCUGAUGCAGCAACGCCGCGUGCGGGAUGACGGCCUUCGGGUUGUAAACCGCUUUCAAUUGUGACGAAGCUUUUUUGUGACGGUAGCAGUAGAAGAAGCACCGGCUAACUACGUG
Molecule: ribosomal RNA, 468 nt
Filed under: uncultured bacterium
Lineage: Bacteria
Description: partial 16S ribosomal RNA
Rfam family: Bacterial small subunit ribosomal RNA
Source: RNAcentral